AUUGAACGCUGGCGGCAGGCCUAACACAUGCAAGUCGAGCGGUAGCACAGGGGAGCUUGCUCCCUGGGUGACGAGCGGCGGACGGGUGAGUAAUGUCUGGGAAACUGCCUGAUGGAGGGGGAUAACUACUGGAAACGGUAGCUAAUACCGCAUAACGUCGCAAGACCAAAGAGGGGGACCUUCGGGCCUCUUGCCAUCAGAUGUGCCCAGAUGGGAUUAGCUAGUAGGUGGGGUAAUGGCUCACCUAGGCGACGAUCCCUAGCUGGUCUGAGAGGAUGACCAGCCACACUGGAACUGAGACACGGUCCAGACACCUACGGGAGGCUG
RNAcentral lists this ribosomal RNA (327 nucleotides) under uncultured Pseudomonadota bacterium. Its description in RNAcentral is "bacterial SSU rRNA". It matches the Rfam family "Bacterial small subunit ribosomal RNA", at positions 30 to 351 of the family's 1533-position model. Lineage: Bacteria; Pseudomonadati; Pseudomonadota. The record is from RNAcentral.